GAUGAACGCUGGCGGCGUGCCUAAUACAUGCAAGUCGAGCGAACGGACGAGAAGCUUGCUUCUCUGAUGUUAGCGGCGGACGGGUGAGUAACACGUGGAUAACCUACCUAUAAGACUGGGAUAACUUCGGGAAACCGGAGCUAAUACCGGAUGAUAUUUUGAACCGCAUGGUUCAAAAGUGAAAGACGGUCUUGCUGUCACUUAUAGAUGGAUCCGCGCUGCAUUAGCUAGUUGGUAAGGUAACGGCUUACCAAGGCAACGAUGCAUAGCCGACCUGAGAGGGUGAUCGGCCACACUGGAACUGAGACACGGUCCAGGCUCCGAGGGGAGGCAGGAGUGGGGAAGCUUCCGCAAUGGGCGAAAGCCUGACGGAGCAACGCCGCGUGAGUGAUGAAGGUCUUCGGAUCGUAAAACUCUGUUAUUAGGGAAGAACAUAUGUGUAAGUAACUGUGCACAUCUUGACGGUACCUAAUCAGAAAGCCACGGCGAACUACGU
This 496-nucleotide ribosomal RNA is filed under the name uncultured bacterium. RNAcentral's name for it is "partial 16S ribosomal RNA". It matches the Rfam family "Bacterial small subunit ribosomal RNA", at positions 28 to 506 of the family's 1533-position model. The record is from RNAcentral.